This 294-nucleotide ribosomal RNA is filed under the name Bacillus velezensis. RNAcentral describes it as "partial 16S ribosomal RNA". It matches the Rfam family "Bacterial small subunit ribosomal RNA", at positions 503 to 797 of the family's 1533-position model. Lineage: Bacteria; Bacillati; Bacillota; Bacilli; Caryophanales; Bacillaceae. The record is from RNAcentral.
UGGUGCCAGCAGCGCGGUAAUACGUAGGUGGCAAGCGUUGUCCGGAAUUAUUGGGCGUAAAGGGCUCGCAGGCGGUUUCUUAAGUCUGAUGUGAAAGCCCCCGGCUCAACCGGGGAGGGUCAUUGGAAACUGGGGAACUUGAGUGCAGAAGAGGAGAGUGGAAUUCCACGUGUAGCGGUGAAAUGCGUAGAGAUGUGGAGGAACACCAGUGGCGAAGGCGACUCUCUGGUCUGUAACUGACGCUGAGGAGCGAAAGCGUGGGGAGCGAACAGGAUUAGAUACCCUGGUAGUCCC